This 450-nucleotide ribosomal RNA is filed under the name uncultured bacterium. RNAcentral's name for it is "partial 16S ribosomal RNA". It matches the Rfam family "Bacterial small subunit ribosomal RNA", at positions 354 to 796 of the family's 1533-position model. The record is from RNAcentral.
GUGGGGAAUUUUGGACAAUGGGGGCAACCCUGAUCCAGCCAUGCCGCGUGCGGGAAGAAGGCCUUCGGGUUGUAAACCGCUUUUGUCAGGGAAGAAAUCCUUUGGGUUAAUACCUCGGAGGGAUGACGGUACCUGAAGAAUAAGCACCGGCUAACUACGUGCCAGCAGCCGCGGUAAUACGUAGGGUGCGAGCGUUAAUCGGAAUUACUGGGCGUAAAGCGUGCGCAGGCGGUUUUGUAAGAUCGAUGUGAAAUCCCCGGGCUCAACCUGGGAACUGCAUUGGUGACUGCAAGGCUGGAGUGCGGCAGAGGGGGAUGGAAUUCCGCGUGUAGCAGUGAAAUGCGUAGAUAUGCGGAGGAACACCGAUGGCGAAGGCAAUCCCCUGGGCCUGCACUGACGCUCAUGUGCGAAAGCUAGGGCAGCGAACGGGAUUAGAUACCCUAGUAGUCC